UAAGUUGUUGCAGUUAAAAAGCUCGUAGAAUGUC
This 34-nucleotide ribosomal RNA is filed under the name uncultured Dinobryon. RNAcentral describes it as "partial Eukaryotic small subunit ribosomal RNA". The record is from RNAcentral. Lineage: Eukaryota; Chrysophyceae; Chromulinales.